Molecule: unclassified non-coding RNA, 4277 nt
Filed under: Hevea brasiliensis (rubber tree)
Lineage: Eukaryota; Viridiplantae; Streptophyta; Magnoliopsida; Malpighiales; Euphorbiaceae
Source: RNAcentral
CCAUUUGACACCAAUGACUUUUCUUCCUUCAAGUUUCUUAACCAACUCCCAAGUUUUAUUUUUUUUCAAAUCAUAAGCAGCUAUUCGUCCAUUGCUUUCUUCCAUUUUGAAUCUUGCAAUGCUUCUUCAGGACCACCAGGUUCACAGACUGCCACAUUACAUUCUGCAUAGAUGUCUGAAAGUGACCUUGUACCUCUAAUUGGAGGAUCAUCUUCCAAUUCGUCUUGCCAUGGAUCUGUUAGUUUCUCUUCAGUAACACCUUUUGGUUCCUUUGAAGUAGUAUCCUUCUUCUGCAAAUUAUUCCAGUCCCAUUAUUCAUCCUCAUUAAAGUGUACAUCCCUGUUGAAUGUUAUUUUUUCUGUUUGAGGAUGAUACACUUUGUAGGCUUUAGAGACUGAACCAUAGCCUACAAAGAUACCUGGAAUUGGUUUUUUGUCAAGCUUGUCGCGUUUAGCCUGUGGCACAUGAACAAAACAUACACAACCAAAUAUUUGAAGGAAACUUAUUGAAGGUUUAUACCCAUACCAAGCUUCAAACGAAGUUUUAUCUUCCAAAGCCUUGGUCGAAAGUCGAUUCUGCAAAAAUACUGCUGUGUUGGCUGCCUUUGCCCAAAACUUUUUGGGUAAAUCUUUCUCAUGCAACAUGCAUCUAGCCAUCUCCAUUAUUAAUCUAUUCCUUCGUUCACUAACUCCAUUCUGUUCUGGAGUGUAUGAGGCAGUAAGCUGAUGUUCAAUGCCAGCUUCUUCACAAAACAAAUUAAACUCUGCUGAAGCAUAUUAUUUUCCAUUAUCAUACUGCAACACUUGAAUCUUACAACCACUUUGAUUUUCUAUCAUUUUCUUGAAUUUCCAAAAUACUCUAGCAACCUUUGAUUUGAAUUUUAAGAAAAAAAUCUAGCACAUUCUUGUGAAAUCAUCAAUAAAAAGAAUGUAGUAAAGACUACCUUGUAAUGAUGGCGCUCUUUGAGGUCCAGCAACAUCUGUAUGAAUAAGUUACACUUUUUUGGAAGCUCUUCAGGUUGAUUUUGCAAAUGGCAACCUGUUUUGCUUACCAAAUUGACAGGAAAUACAAUCUGGCAAAUAGUCGUCAAGCUUCGAUAGUCCCCUUGCCAUGUCACUUUUCUGUAAUUUUAACAUCCUUUAAAGAUGACAAUGCCCAAGCUUCUUAUGCCAAAUUUCCGUGUUGCUGGAUUUGGUGAAAUAAGCUAUCUGCACCUCUGUAGGAUCAUAUGCAAAGCUUUUUCCCUUCAUUUUAACCUUUAAAAUUUCUUUUCUAGAUGUGUCAAAAAUGAGACAAUGGAAAUUUGCAAAGGAUACUUUAAAUCCUUUUUCUAACAGCUGGCCAACACUCAAUAGAUUUUGAUCAAUUUUAGGUACAUAAAGAACAUCAGAAAUUGUUUUUGUACCUGAGCUGAUUGUAAUUGCAACAGUUCAAUUCCUUUUGUAGGUAGAUAGCCUCCGUUGCCAAUUCUGAUCUUCUUGACUUUGGAAGGCCUCAAAUCUUUAAAGAGAGUGUUAUCUAAAGUCUUGUGGUUUGUACAACCACUGCCAAUCAACCAACUUUCUGAAGAACUUCUAGUUGAAAAACACGUUGCUACAAACAUCCGAUCUUCUUCUUCUUCAUCAGCAACUUGAGCAGCUUCAUCUUGGCUUUGGACCUCAUUAUUGCAAAUCACAGCUUCAUGUCCAAGCUGAUUACAUUUGCUACACUUUGCAUCAGGCCUUCUCCAACAUUUGGAAGGUGGAUGACCGAUUUUGCCGCAGUGCUAACAAGGUGGAUAGUUCUUUUUUGAAUUUCUACUAUAGCUGCGAUUUUAAUUAUUUUUCUUGAUUUUUUCAGCUACCUGGUGUUUGGCUGACAGAGCUCCUUCGACAACACAUUCUUGCCUUAUUAGCCUCCUCUGAUCUUGAGCCUGUAAGGCGUUUAACAGCUCUGCCAAAGUGAUAUUAGACAGUUCCUUUGUAUUUUCUAAGGUAGUAAUGGCAGCUUCGUAUCUCUUUGGCACAGUUACAAGAAUUUUUUGAAUAAUUCUUGAAUCUAAAAAUUGAGUGCAAGCAACCGUACCUUGUUUGCAAUCCCCAAUAAUUUGUCUGAGUAUUCUUUGACUGGCUCAGAAUCUUUCAUCCUCUGCAAUUUAAGCUCCCUUAAUAAAUUUAGCACCUGCAUGCCUCGAAUCCUUUCAUCUCCUUUACAUUCUUCUUUGAGAUAAUCCCAAAUCUCUUUUGCAGAUUUAAGAGACAUGAUCCUUGUGAAGAUCGUUUCUGAAACAGCAGCAAAAAGUGUUGCUUUUGCCUUGGACUUCCUGGUCUUCUUUUCCUCAUGAUUUUUCAUUUAGGCUACGGUAGGAUUAUUUGGCAAAGGAUCAACUUCAUAAUCUUCUUCCACAGCCUCCCAAAGAUCCAUAGCCUCAAGGUAAGCAAUCAUUCUCACAGACCAUAGUUGAUAAUUCUCUCUAUCAAAAGUUGGAGGAGAAAGGUUGGAAUGGCUGGUUUCACUCUCCAUCAUACACACAGGUCCUUUAAGAAAUAAGCUCUGAUACCAGAUGUUAGUAUUAAAAGACAAAAAACAAAGGAAAGGAAAGGUAAAAAAAACUAAGAGAAAGAAGUACGAAACUGUAAAGACUCACACUUUAUUACAUAUCAGCUUUUGGUUUAAAUAGCUGAGUUACAAACAGAAAACUAACAGAAGUUCAGAAAAAUCAACAAAUUUAAUUGUGAUUCCUAAAAAUCACAUAACAAAUAAUAAUCCCCUUUAGAAUAGGAUUACAUAUUGACUAGGAUUUUAUUAUAAUUAUUAUUAUUUAAAAAAACAAGAAAAUAAACAUAGAAGUCACGUACAAAACUUAAAGCAAACAUUUAACACUCCUCCUUGUUUUAAGAAUUGCAGACCCCAAUUCUUUGUCGUAGAAUCUCAAACUUGCUAACUGAAAGUGGCUUCGUGAAUAGGUAUGCUAGCUGGUCUUCAGAAAUGCAAUAAACCAAGGUGAGUUCUCCAUCUUGCUGGACUUCCCUCAAGAAAUAGAGCUUAAUAUUGAAAUGCUUGGUCUUCCUGUGAAAUACUGAAUUGUUUGAAAUUGCAAUAGCGGCUUGAUUGUCAAGAAAAAUUUUAGUGCUUUCUUUCUGCUCCAUGUGUAAAUCAAACAAGAUCUUCUUCAGCCAUAAAACUUGAUUUGUAGCUGCUGUUGCUACUAUAAAUUCUGCGUCUACAGUAGAUUGUGCUACAACUUCCUAUUUCUUGGAACACCAUGAGAAAACUCCUGAGCCUAGAUUGAAACAAUAUCCUUAGGUGCUUUUCAUAUCAUCAACUGAUCCAGCCCAGUUACUAUAUGAAAAACCACAUAGCUUGAAAUUUUCACACCUUUAAAACUUAACUCCAUAAUCAAUAGUACUUUUGACAUACCUUAAUAUUCUUUUUGCUGCAGUUAAAUGCAUUUCACUAGGACAAUGCAUGAAUCUCAUAAGAGACUUACAGCAAAUAGAAUGUCAAGCCUUGUUGUUGUGAGAUACAUCAGGCAUCCAAUCAAGCUCCUGCAAUAACCUUCAUCAACUUUAUUAGCUCUAUCUUCCUUACUUAGCUUCUCCUUUUGAUUCAUUGGUGUGCUUAUCGCCUUACAUUCUUCCAUCUGAAAAUUUUUCAGGAUUUCCUUCGGAUAUUUUUUCUGAUAGAUGAACACUUCAUUUUCUCCUUGCCUGAUCUCCAUUCCAAGAAAAUAGGUCAUGAGACCAAGAUCUAUCAUUUCAAAAGCCUGCAUCAUUUCCUUUUUAAAGUCUUCAACUAACUUUGCAUCAUUUCCUAUCACUAAAAGAUCAUCAACAUAAAGAGACACGAUGAGAGUGUCAUUAUCUUUAUGUUUCACAUAAAGAGUGGCUUCAGACAAGCUUUUAACAAAACCAAGGUCUAACAAGUGUGCAUCUAUCCUACUAUACCAAGCUCUUAGCGCUUGCUUCAAGCCAUAUAGAGCCUUUUUUAGUAGGUAGACCUUGUCUUCUUCACCUUGCUUCACAAAUCCUUUGGGCUGCUCUACAUAUAUUUCCUCUUUUAAGAUGCCAUUUAAAAAAGCUAAUUUGACAUCCAGCUGAAACACUUUCCAUCCCAUUUGUGCUGAUAAUGCAAGCAACAACUUGAUUGUAUCUAGUCUUGCAACAGGGGCAAAAGUGUCAGAAUAAUCAACGUCGUAUAUUUGAGCAUACCCUUUAACGACGAGUCUGGCCUUAUGUUUGUUGAUGGAGCUAUCUGCAUUCAGCUUUGUUCUGAACACCCAUUUGACACCAAUGACU